RNAcentral lists this long non-coding RNA (1406 nucleotides) under Helianthus annuus (common sunflower). Its description in RNAcentral is "hypothetical non coding rna". Lineage: Eukaryota; Viridiplantae; Streptophyta; Magnoliopsida; Asterales; Asteraceae. The record is from RNAcentral.
GCAUGCGCGCACGGGCGACAUACACGUUCGUAUGUAAAGCAGCAAGGCUCGCAGGGAGGCUGAGAUGAUCGUAUGUAGAACAACAGACUCGUAUGGAGAUCGACGUGUUGGUAUGUAAAAGAGCCUGCGCGCAUGGCGACUUAUGUGCUCAUAAGUAAUGGAGUAUGCGCUCUUGGCGACUAACGGGCUCGUAUGUAAAGGAGCAUGCGCGCGUGGCGACUUACGUGCUCAUAUGUCAAGGAGCAUGCGUGCAUGGCGACUUACGUGCUUGCAUGUAAAGGAGCAUGCGCCAGCCGGCGACUUACGUGCUCGUUAUGUAAAGGAGCAUGCGCCAGCCGGCGACUUACGUGCUCGUAUGUAAAAGAGCAUGCGCGCGUGGCGACUUACGUGCUCGUAUGUCAAGGAGCAUGCGCGCAUGGCGACUUACGUGCUCGUAUGUAAAGGAGCAUGCGCCAGCCGGCGACUUACGUGCUCAUUAUGUAAAGGAGCAUGCGCGCGUGGCGACUUACGUGCUCGUAUGUAAAGGAGCAUGCACGCGUGGCGACUUACGUGCUCGUAUGUCAAGGAGCAUGCGCGCAUGGCGACUUACGUGCUCGUAUGUAAAGAAGCAUGCGCCAGCCGGCGACUUACGUGCUCAUUAUCUAAAGGAGCCUGCGCGCAUGGCGACUUACGUGUUCGCAUGUAAAGGAGCAUGCGCCAGCCGGCGACUUACGUGCUCGUUAUGUAAAGGAGCAUGCGCCAGCCGGCGACUUACGUGCUCGUAUGUAAAAGAGCAUGCGCGCGUGGCGACUUACGUGCUCGUAUGUAAAGGAGCAUGCGCGGUUGGCGACUUACGUGCUCAAAUGUAAAAGAGCAUGCGCCAGCCGGCGACUUACGUGCUCGUAUGUAGGGGAGCAUGCGACUGCUAGCGCAUGUGUGCUUACUCGUAAGUAAAGGAACAUGCGCGUUUGGCGACUUACGUGUUCGUUUGUAAAGGAGCAUGCGCGGUUGGCGAUUUACGUGCUCAAAUGUAAAAGAGCAUGCGCCAGCCGGCGACUUACGUGCUCGUAUGUAGGGGAGCAUGCGACUGCUAGCGCAUGUGUGCUUACUCGUAAGUAAAGGAACAUGCGCGUUUGGCGACUUACGUGUUCGUUUGUAAAGGAGCAUGCGCGGUUGGCCACUUACGUGCUCAAAUGUAAAAGAGCAUGCGCCAGCCGGCGACUUACGUGCUCGUAUGUAGGGGAGCAUGUGACUGCUAGCGCAUGUGUGCUUACUCGUAAGUAAAGGAACAUGCGCGCUUGGCGACUUACGUGUUCGUUUGUAAAGGAGCAUGCGCUGUUGGCCACUUACGUGUUCAAAUGUAAAAGAGCAUGCGCCAGCCGGCGACUUACGUGCUCGUAUGUAAAGGAGCAUGCGCGCGUGGCGAC